RNAcentral lists this microRNA precursor (131 nucleotides) under Oryza brachyantha (malo sina). RNAcentral's name for it is "MIR812 microRNA precursor family". It matches the Rfam family "MIR812 microRNA precursor family", at positions 32 to 174 of the family's 205-position model. Lineage: Eukaryota; Viridiplantae; Streptophyta; Magnoliopsida; Poales; Poaceae. The record is from Rfam by way of RNAcentral.
CUUUAACCAUUCGUCUUAUUUAAAAAAAUUAUGAUUAAUACUUUAUUAGAUGAUAAAACAUCAAUAAUAUUUUACGCGUGAUAAUCUUUUUUGAAUUUUAUAAAACUUUUAAAUAAGACGGAUGGUCAAAG